AACCAGCUCUUCAAGUGGUCGGGAUGAUUAUUGGGCUUAAAGUGUCCGUAGCCGGUUUAGUAAGUUCCUGGUAAAAUCAGGUAGCUUAACUAUCUGUAUGCUAGGAAUACUACUAUACUAGAGGGCGGGAGAGGUCUGAGGUACUAUAGGGGUAGGGGUGAAAUCUUAUAAUCCUUGUAGGACCACCAGCGGCGAAGGCGUCAGACUGGAACGUGCCUGACGGUGAGGGACGAAAGCCGAGGGGAGCGAACCGGAUUAGACUACCCGGGUAGUCCUGGCCGUAAACGAUGCAUACUAGGUGAUGGCCCGCCAUGAGCCGUGUCAGUGACCGUAGGAAACCGUUAAGUGUGCCGCCUGGGAAGUACGGUCGCAAGGCUAAAAACGUUAAAGGAAUUGGGCGGGGGAGCACCACGAAGGGGUGAAGCCUGUGGUUAC
RNAcentral lists this ribosomal RNA (435 nucleotides) under uncultured archaeon. Its description in RNAcentral is "bacterial SSU rRNA". It matches the Rfam family "Archaeal small subunit ribosomal RNA", at positions 474 to 904 of the family's 1478-position model. The record is from RNAcentral.